Molecule: ribosomal RNA, 396 nt
Filed under: uncultured bacterium
Lineage: Bacteria
Description: partial 16S ribosomal RNA
Rfam family: Bacterial small subunit ribosomal RNA
Source: RNAcentral
AUACGUAGGUGACAAGCGUUAUCCGGAUUUACUGGGCGUAAAGGGCGUGUAGGCGGUCUUGCAAGUCAGAAGUGAAAUUCCUGAGCUCAACUCGGGCGCUGCUUCUGAAACUGCAGGACUUGAGUGCUGGAGGGGAUAGCGGAAUUCCUAGUGGAGCGGUAAAAUGCGCAGAUAUUAGGAAGAACACCGGUGGCGAAGGCGGCUAUCUGGACAGUAACAGACGCUGAGGCGCGAAAGCGUGGGGAGCAAACAGGAUUAGAUACCCUGGUAGUCCACGCCCUAAACGAUGAAUACUAGGUGUGGGGGGACUGACCCCCUCCGUGCCGGAGUAAACACAAUAAGUAUUCCACCUGGGGAGUACGACCGCAAGGUUGAAACUCAAAGGAAUUGACGGGG